Molecule: ribosomal RNA, 500 nt
Filed under: uncultured cyanobacterium
Lineage: Bacteria; Bacillati; Cyanobacteriota
Description: bacterial SSU rRNA
Rfam family: Bacterial small subunit ribosomal RNA
Source: RNAcentral
GGUGAAUUUUCCGCAAUGGGCGAAAGCCUGACGGAGCAAUACCGCGUGAGGGAAGAAGGCUCUUGGGUUGUAAACCUCUUUUCUUAGGGAAGAAAAAAAUGACGGUACCUAAGGAAUAAGCAUCGGCUAACUCCGUGCCAGCAGCCGCGGUAAUACGGAGGAUGCAAGCGUUAUCCGGAAUGAUUGGGCGUAAAGCGUCCGCAGGUGGCAAGUCAAGUUUGCGGUUAAAGGUUCUGGCUCAACCAGAGACAGGCCGUGAAAACUGACUAGCUAGAGUAUGGUAGGGGCAGAGGGAAUUCCCAGUGUAGCGGUGAAAUGCGUAGAGAUUGGGAAGAACACCGGUGGCGAAAGCGCUCUGCUAGGCCAAAACUGACACUGAGGGACGAAAGCUAGGGGAGCGAAUGGGAUUAGAUACCCCAGUAGUCCUAGCCGUAAACGAUGGAUACUAGGUGUAGCUUGUAUCGACCCAAGCUGUGCCGUAGCUAACGCGUUAAGUAUCC